AACGAUGAACCACUUCGGUGGGGAUUAGUGGCGAACGGGUGAGUAACACGUGGGCAAUCUGCCCUUCACUCUGGGACAAGCCCUGGAAACGGGGUCUAAUACCGGAUACGACCUGCCAAGGCAUCUUGGCGGGUGGAAAGCUCCGGCGGUGAAGGAUGAGCCCGCGGCCUAUCAGCUUGUUGGUGAGGUAACGGCUCACCAAGGCGACGACGGGUAGCCGGCCUGAGAGGGCGACCGGCCACACUGGGACUGAGACACGGCCCAGACUCCUACGGGAGGCAGCAGUGGGGAAUAUUGCACAAUGGGCGAAAGCCUGAUGCAGCGACGCCGCGUGAGGGAUGACGGCCUUCGGGUUGUAAACCUCUUUCAGCAGGGAAGAAGCGAAAGUGACGGUACCUGCAGAAGAAGCGCCGGCUAACUACGUGCCAGCAGCCGCGGUAAUACGUAGGGCGCAAGCGUUGUCCGGAAUUAUUGGGCGUAAAGAGCUCGUAGGCGGCUUGUCGCGUCGGUUGUGAAAGCCCGGGGCUUAACCCCGGGUCUGCAGUCGAUACGGGCAGGCUAGAGUUCGGUAGGGGAGAUCGGAAUUCCUGGUGUAGCGGUGAAAUGCGCAGAUAUCAGGAGGAACACCGGUGGCGAAGGCGGAUCUCUGGGCCGAUACUGACGCUGAGGAGCGAAAGCGUGGGGAGCGAACAGGAUUAGAUACCCUGGUAGUCCACGCCGUAAACGGUGGGCACUAGGUGUGGGCAACAUUCCACGUUGUCCGUGCCGCAGCUAACGCAUUAAGUGCCCCG
RNAcentral lists this ribosomal RNA (791 nucleotides) under Streptomyces fragilis. Its description in RNAcentral is "bacterial SSU rRNA". It matches the Rfam family "Bacterial small subunit ribosomal RNA", at positions 65 to 871 of the family's 1533-position model. Lineage: Bacteria; Bacillati; Actinomycetota; Actinomycetes; Kitasatosporales; Streptomycetaceae. The record is from RNAcentral.